CCUCCGCGUCUACGCGUAACUCAGCGACCAGGUGCUGCACUAACGAUGUGCUCCGCAGCCAGGGUCACCCUGCUCCUGUGAGGAGGGGACGCCAAAAGCAGGAAUCUCGCCUGGGAGGUCCCCACCCUCUGAUAAAACACACACAGCUGCACCAAGGACGUCUGGGAAACAGGCAAGUCUGUAAGCGCUUGCUCUUGAAGCAAUUCCCGAUUCUUCUGCCCUGAAUAACUCAUCAUCUUGAGGUUGCCAAGAACCGUCGGUCAACGAAGGUGUGGGCCAGCUGUCACAGGACAGAGGUGAGCUGGGCUGAGGAUGGUGAGCUGGACUGAGGAUGGUGGGCAGGAGGCCGGCUGCGGGGGAGGAGGAACUCCCAGAUUCUGCAGAGCCCUCAAACCCCACCCAUCUCCACACCUGGAAUUUAGGGACAUGCUACCCACUACCUACUCUUGACUUUAUAGGAGUACGGGGAAGCUUUUCAGGGGUUAUGUAAUUGUUCCUCAUUUUAAAAGUGAAAAAUAUUAACACAGUGCUCAAGUGAAUGGAUCUGGGGCCGGACUGCCUGGGUUCAAAGCACAGCUCCACCACAUUGCUCAGUCUUCCCCUCGCUUUCCUCUUCUAUGAAAUGGAAGUCAUAAUAGUAGCUAUGCUUGGCUUUAUUUUAAAGAUUAAAUGAAGGAAGACAUACAAAGUACUUAGAACAAGUCCUGUUGUAUAGUAACUACAAGUAUUGUCAGUAUCUUUUUUUUCUUUUUUUUUGAGAUGGAGUCUCUCAGUGUUGCCCAGGCAACACUAUGAAGGAGAGAAACACUAUGAAUCUAAUGAAUUUGGAAAAUUUAGCAAGAAAUUAAACUUUACCCAACAUCAAAGAAUGUACACAGGAGAAAAACCUGAUGAGUGUAAAGAAAAUUAGAAAGCCCUGAAGAAGUUAUACCAUACUCAAAAUGAGAGAACUCAAGCAGGAGAGAAAAUCUAUGAUUGUAAGAAAUGUGGGAAAUUCUUUCAUGAAAAAGCAUGCCUUACUCAACAUCAGAGAACCCACACAACAGGAAAACCCAGCAAGUGUAAUGAUAGUGAAAGAGUCUCAAAGAAGGAAUCUUGCCUCACUCCCAGUCAGAGAAUUAAAACAAGAUUAAAACAAGAGAGAAAAACUGUAAAGGUAAUAAAUGUGAGAAACCUUUCUUUGAGAAGUUGAAACACACUCAACAUCAGAGAAGGCACUUGGGGAAAAAAAAUAAUGGGUGUAAUGAAAGUGGGGUUGCCUCAAGUAGGAAGUCACAACUUACACAAAGCCAGAGAGCUCACAAAAAAGAGAAGACCUAUGACUGUAAUAAAUGUGGAGAAAGCUUCCAUAAGAAAACAGAUCUCAGACAGCAUCAGAGCACACACACAGGGAAAAAAAACCCUAUGAAUGUAAUGAAUGUGAAAAAUCCUUCGUUGUGAAGUCCAACUACACUGAACAUCAGAGAACUCACACAGGAGAAAAACCAUAUGAAUGUAAUGAAUGUGGAAAGUCCUUCUGCCAGAAAUCAGCCCUCACAGUACAUCGGAGAACUCACACGGGAGAGAAACCAUAUAAACGUAAUGAAUGUGGGAAAACCUUCUGUGUGAAAUCAAACCUUACUCAACAUCGAAGGACUCACACACUGUGAGAAACCCUAUAAAUGUAAUGAGUGCUGGAGAUCUUACUGUGUGAAAUCCAACCUUGUCGUGCAUCAGAGAACUCAUACAGGAGAAAAACCCUACAGAUGUCCUGAGUGUGGGAAAACCUUCUAUGAAAAGUCAGCCCUCACAAAACAUGAGCGAAUUCACACAGGGGAAAAACUCUAUGGAUGUAAUGAAUGUAGAAAAACCUUCAGCCAGAGGUCAGCCCUCACCAAACAUCAAAGGAAAACACACAAGAAGAAAACUCCCAUCAACACCCUCCAUGUGCAGAAACCUGCAUCUUCAAGCCAAAUUUGUUGAACAUCAGCAAACUCACAGGGCAGAAACACUAAGCCCUAGAGGUGGUAGAUGCUUUCUGCAGUCACUACCGCCAUGAGACCUUAGAGUUCUUUUGAUCCUUUCCAGAGACCUACUUAACAACUUUAUACCCAGUUAACAAUUCUUUAUAUUGACUUAUGUCUGUUCAAAUAACUGGUGUGGUUUCUGUCUCCUGACUCAACCCCGAUUGACACAUUCCCUUGAAGGGGCAGAACAUCCCCUGAGACAAGAUGCAACUGUACACCUAAAUAAAAACAUAAAAUCUUCAAAGAAAGAUAAUGUCCUUCAGAAAAGGGUUUGUCAGCCAUAGGUGCCUGGCCCAGGGAGGAUCAGAGAAUAAACCCCAGGAUGACAUCUUCAGCAGUGACAAGAGAACAGACCACCACCAUUGACAGCCUGGAUGACUCUCAAGACCCCUGCUAUAGACUGAAUAGCUGCUUCAUGUGCCCCUGCCCUCCACCCCACCGCCCAUUCAUAUGUUGAAAACUAAUCCCCAAUGUGAUUUUAUUUAGAGUGGGGCUUUUAGGAGGUGAUUAGGUCAUGAGUGUGGAACCUUCAUGAAUGGGACUGGUGCCCUUUAAAAAAGAGACUUCAGAGAGCUCCUUUACCCUUCUGCCAUAUGAAGACACAGUGAGAAGAUGGCCAUCUGUGAACCAAUAAGGCAGCCCUCAUUAGACAUCAAAUCUGAUGACACUUUGAUCUUGGACUUCCCAGCCCCUAGAACUGUAAGAAAUAAAUAUUUGUUGUUUAUAA
Molecule: small RNA, 2733 nt
Filed under: Pongo abelii (Sumatran orangutan)
Lineage: Eukaryota; Metazoa; Chordata; Mammalia; Primates; Hominidae
Description: processed transcript
Source: RNAcentral